This 127-nucleotide non-coding RNA is filed under the name unclassified sequences. RNAcentral describes it as "RT-3 RNA". It matches the Rfam family "RT-3 RNA". The record is from Rfam by way of RNAcentral.
AUUAUGGCUCUUGGCCGGGACGUGUUCCCCAGUCCAACCCAUAGAGGAAUGCACCUUGCCUCUUGGUCAAAAAACAAAUUGGGUUAAUGUUGUGUGGUAGGUUGUAUUCUCGAAGCACAUAGAUUUC